UAUGGGGGGUGGUGCGGACAAGGCCUUCGCCAACCCGGUCAGAUCCGGAAGGAAGCAGCCGCAGCGGAUGAUCCUUGGGUCGCUGCCAUCCCCCACCCUU
RNAcentral lists this signal recognition particle RNA (100 nucleotides) under Alphaproteobacteria bacterium. RNAcentral's name for it is "signal recognition particle sRNA small type". It matches the Rfam family "Bacterial small signal recognition particle RNA". From Rfam's summary of the family: The signal recognition particle (SRP) is a universally conserved ribonucleoprotein involved in the co-translational targeting of proteins to membranes. RNAcentral also lists the same sequence under 1 other name. The record is from RNAcentral. Lineage: Bacteria; Pseudomonadati; Pseudomonadota; Alphaproteobacteria.